CACACCUGGGCCAGGCUUGGGAGCCACACAGCAAAUAUACCAAACUACCAUCAGUCGGGAGGACAGUGGCCCUGAACUAUUAGAUGCUUUCACUGAACCGUCUUUCGUUCCGUUUUGAA
This is a long non-coding RNA of Fukomys damarensis (Damara mole-rat), 119 nucleotides long. RefSeq lists it as uncharacterized. The record is from RefSeq and is a predicted model, not a curated record. The transcript has 2 exons. NCBI's taxonomy places the organism in Eukaryota, Metazoa, Chordata, Mammalia, Rodentia, Bathyergidae.